GUGCUCACUUCAGCAGCAUAAACUAUCACUAGAAAAUACAGAGAUGGUUAGCACAGCCCCUUUGCAAGGAUCAUAUACAACUGGCAUGAAGGGUCUCAUCAUCCU
Small nuclear RNA from Cricetulus griseus (Chinese hamster), 105 nucleotides. Lineage: Eukaryota; Metazoa; Chordata; Mammalia; Rodentia; Cricetidae. The record is from Ensembl.